This 492-nucleotide ribosomal RNA is filed under the name uncultured bacterium. RNAcentral describes it as "partial 16S ribosomal RNA". It matches the Rfam family "Bacterial small subunit ribosomal RNA", at positions 29 to 507 of the family's 1533-position model. The record is from RNAcentral.
AGUGAACGCUGGCGGUAGGCCUAACACAUGCAAGUCGAACGGCAGCACAGUAAGAGCUUGCUCUUACGGGUGGCGAGUGGCGGACGGGUGAGGAAUACAGCGGAAUCUACUUUUUCGUGGGGGAUAACGUAGGGAAACUUACGCUAAUACCGCAUACGACCUACGGGUGAAAGCAGGGGAUCUUCGGACCUUGCGCGUUUGAAUGAGCCGAUGUCGGAUUAGCUAGUUGGCGGGGUAAAGGCCCACCAAGGCGACGAUCCGUAGCUGGUCUGAGAGGAUGAUCAGCCACACUGGAACUGAGACACGGUCCAGACUCCUACGGGAGGCAGCAGUGGGGAAUAUUGGACAAUGGGCGCAAGCCUGAUCCAGCCAUACCGCGUGGGUGAAGAAGGCCUUCGGGUUGUAAAGCCCUUUUGUUGGGAAAGAAAAGCAGCAGGUUAAUACCCUGCUGUUCUGACGGUACCCAAAGAAUAAGCACCGGCUAACUUCGUG